UACGAAGGGUGCAAGCGUUACUCGGAAUUACUGGGCGUAAAGCGUGCGUAGGUGGUGAGUUAAGUCUGAUGUGAAAUCCCCGGGCUCAACCUGGGAAUGGCAUUGGAUACUGGCUCGCUAGAGUGCGGUAGAGGGUGGUGGAAUUCCCGGUGUAGCAGUGAAAUGCGUAGAGAUCGGGAGGAACAUCUGAGGAUAAGGCGGCCACCGGGAUCAACACUGACACUGAGGCACGAAAGCGUGGGGAGCAAACAGG
This 253-nucleotide ribosomal RNA is filed under the name uncultured bacterium. Its description in RNAcentral is "partial 16S ribosomal RNA". It matches the Rfam family "Bacterial small subunit ribosomal RNA", at positions 524 to 776 of the family's 1533-position model. The record is from RNAcentral.